Molecule: ribosomal RNA, 253 nt
Filed under: uncultured bacterium
Lineage: Bacteria
Description: partial 16S ribosomal RNA
Rfam family: Bacterial small subunit ribosomal RNA
Source: RNAcentral
CACGUAGGGCGCAAGCGUUGUCCGGAAUUAUUGGGCGUAAAGAGCUCGUAGGCGGUCUGUUGCGUCUGCUGUGAAAACCCGGGGCUUAACCCCUGGCUUGCAGUGGAUACGGACAGACUAGAGGUAGGUAGGGGAGAAUGGAAUUCCCGGUGUAGCGGUGAAAUGCGCAGAUAUCGGGAGGAACACCGGUGGCGAAGGCGGUCCUCUGGGCCUUACCUGACGCUGAGGAGCGAAAGCGUGGGGAGCGAACAGG